Molecule: ribosomal RNA, 653 nt
Filed under: Pseudomonas sp. AT-BI-02
Lineage: Bacteria; Pseudomonadati; Pseudomonadota; Gammaproteobacteria; Pseudomonadales; Pseudomonadaceae
Description: bacterial SSU rRNA
Rfam family: Bacterial small subunit ribosomal RNA
Source: RNAcentral
GCUUGCUUCUCUUGAGAGCGGCGGACGGGUGAGUAAUACCUAGGAAUCUGCCUGAUAGUGGGGGAUAACGUUCGGAAACGGACGCUAAUACCGCAUACGUCCUACGGGAGAAAGCAGGGGACCUUCGGGCCUUGCGCUAUCAGAUGAGCCUAGGUCGGAUUAGCUAGUUGGUGAGGUAAUGGCUCACCAAGGCUACGAUCCGUAACUGGUCUGAGAGGAUGAUCAGUCACACUGGAACUGAGACACGGUCCAGACUCCUACGGGAGGCAGCAGUGGGGAAUAUUGGACAAUGGGCGAAAGCCUGAUCCAGCCAUGCCGCGUGUGUGAAGAAGGUCUUCGGAUUGUAAAGCACUUUAAGUUGGGAGGAAGGGUAUUAACCUAAUACGUUAGUACUUUGACGUUACCGACAGAAUAAGCACCGGCUAACUCUGUGCCAGCAGCCGCGGUAAUACAGAGGGUGCAAGCGUUAAUCGGAAUUACUGGGCGUAAAGCGCGCGUAGGUGGUUUGUUAAGUUGAAUGUGAAAUCCCCGGGCUCAACCUGGGAACUGCAUCCAAAACUGGCAAGCUAGAGUAUGGUAGAGGGUAGUGGAAUUUCCUGUGUAGCGGUGAAAUGCGUAGAUAUAGGAAGGAACACCAGUGGCGAAGGCGACUA